CCUUUCUGCAAAAACUUGCUAACUAACCACAGUGAAACUUGAAAAAGUGCAUCGCAAACGAGAAGUGGAAAUCGUUUUUCAGCAGCGACUGGUAUUAGCGGGGUGGACGGGUGGAGAGGUGUCCAUGACCAGUCUUUAGGCCUGCUUUAGCAAUUGAUUGUACAGCUAGCUUCCAGUAAUCACUCGCAACCAGAAAAGGCCUAGAGGACUGCCAUCUGUUUAAGUGCUACAGUCUGAAAUCUCCUCUGAACUUGAACAGACUUGUUCAAUAAUGAUGUGGCUGAAAAAGUGAGGUGACAAAAAAUGAACUGCAGCCAGCUGUUGGCCUCCUGUGAUAUUUCCACAGAGGAACAAUCUGCACUAGGACGAUCGGGUUGAAGGCCCAGCAAAGAUUCAUCUGCGUCGAUGAGAAGUGAAAAUUGCUAAAGGAUACAAGUGAAGCAAAGAGGCACGAGGCCAGCUCUGUGAUAGAAUAGCUGUUGCAUGGAAUCGCAUUACAGCGUCUUUCUUCUUCCUGUCAAACAAACGGACUGUUCUGCCCCACUUUCAGAAGUCUCAAACUGUCUUUUCCACGGCACUGAUCCCAAAGAUUGGUUUUUGUUUUAAUGCCGUGUCGCUGGUGCUGCUCAUGCCACUUCCCUAAAAGCCCGGGAUAUUACAAAUGCUGUCCAUGCAUGCAGCUGCACACAGCAGCGAUAACUGCACUCUCAUUAAACUGUCUUCACCUGAUAAACAUGUGAUUGUUGACUGCGAUAGAGAUAAAAUACUAUAGUAUAUAGCGCUCCCUGUG
Long non-coding RNA from Oreochromis aureus, 790 nucleotides. The record is from Ensembl. NCBI's taxonomy places the organism in Eukaryota, Metazoa, Chordata, Actinopteri, Cichliformes, Cichlidae.